RNAcentral lists this ribosomal RNA (648 nucleotides) under uncultured marine eukaryote. RNAcentral describes it as "SSU rRNA". It matches the Rfam family "Eukaryotic small subunit ribosomal RNA", at positions 617 to 1271 of the family's 1831-position model. The record is from RNAcentral.
GGUUAAAAAGCUCGUAGUUGGAUUUCUGUUGAGGACGGCCGGUCCGCACUAUGUGCGUGUAUCUGGUUCGGCCUUGGCAUCCUCUUGAGGAACGUUCCUGCGCUUGACUGCGUGGGGCGGUAUUCAAGACUUUUACUUUGAGGAAAUUAGAGUGUUCACGGCAGGCAAGCGCCUUGAAUACAUUAGCAUGGAAUAGUAAUAUAGGAUCUUGGUUCUAUUUGUUGGUUUCUAGGGCUAAGGUAAUGAUUGAUAGGGAUAAUUGGGGGCAUUUGUAUUAACGCGUCAGAGGUGGAAUUCUUGGAUUGCGUUACGACAAACUACUGCGAAAGCAUUUGCCAAGGAUGUUUUCAUUGAUCAAGAACGAAAGUAUGGGGAUCGAAGAUGAUUAGAUACCGUCGUAGUCUAUACCAUAAACUAUGCCGACUAGGGAUUGGAGGUCGUUCUUUUAUGACUCCUUCAGCACCUUAUGAGAAAUCAAAGUCUUUGGGUUCCGGGGGGAGUAUAGUCGCAAGGCUGAGACUUAAAGGAAUUGACGGAAGGGCACCACCAGGAGUGGAGCCUGCGGCUUAAUUUGACUCAACACGGGGAAACUCACCAGGUCCAGACAUAGUAAGGAUUGACAGAUUGAUAGCUCUUUCUUGAUUCUAU